Molecule: long non-coding RNA, 687 nt
Filed under: Homo sapiens (human)
Lineage: Eukaryota; Metazoa; Chordata; Mammalia; Primates; Hominidae
Description: HSALNT0347778
Source: RNAcentral
UUGUGUGUUUGAUGUGACAUGCUGAGUGUACGUCUCCCAUCACCCAAAUGCAAGCUCCUUGAGAGCAGCGACGUGGUAUUUCCAAUGCCUGGAACAGUACGUGGCACCUGAUGAGUACAGUCAAAGGCUGGAAUGUUGGCGUGAUGGUUGAAGCUGUAACAGCCAUCUUCGACUACAAAAUGGAAGCUGCAUGCUACAAAUGACAGAAGACAAGAUCAAAAGAACCUGUGUUCCCAGCACCACAGAACUGUCCCUAUGGAAAUAGACAUGACUGUUACAUAAGAAAGAAAUAUACCCUACUAUGUUUAAGCCUCUGUUAUUUUAGCAUGUGUUGUAGCAGUUGUAUACUAAGUAACUAAUGAGAAAGAAUAUUUUGUGCCCUGGUAAAGAUGGAUACUUCUAUAUGUUAUGAGAACAAUUUGAUGAGGUAAUUGUAAUUUAGUAGAAUAAUAUCAAAUAUUAAUGUCAAAUGACUAGUUUGGCAUUGCCACAUAGUAAUUGUUGGGCAAGUUAUUAACCUGUGUCUCAGUUUCCUCACUGGUAGAAUAACAAUAACAGACAAUCGUACUAGUGUCUAACGUUUUACUGAACAUGUAGCUUGGUUCAGCGCCACACAUUAUUUGAAUUAAGUAGAAUAAGAGAGUCCUGAGUAAAUAUAACCCAAAUGUAAAUUAUUUUUAAACUUUA